GAUGAAGAACGUAGCGAAAUGCGAUAAGCAAUGUGAAUUGCAGAAUUCAGUGAAUCAUCGAAUCUUUGAACGCACAUUGCGCCCGCCAGUAUUCUGGCGGGCAUGCCUGUCUGAGCGUCAUUUCAACCCUCAUGCCCCUAGGGCGUGGUGUUGGGGAUCGGCCAAAGCCCGCGAGGGACGGCCGGCCCCUAAAUCUAGUGGCGGACCCGUCGUGGCCUCCUCUGCGAAGUAGUGAUAUUCCGCAUCGGAGAGCGAUGAGCCCCUGCCGUUAAACCCCCAACUUUCCAAGGUUGACCUCAGAUCAGGUAGGAAUACCCGCUGAACUUAAGCAUAUCAAUAAGCGGAGGA
Molecule: unclassified non-coding RNA, 348 nt
Filed under: soil metagenome
Description: partial contains 5.8S ribosomal RNA, internal transcribed spacer 2, and large subunit ribosomal RNA
Rfam family: 5.8S ribosomal RNA (bases 1-120)
Source: RNAcentral